CUAAUAUCAUGUAAAUAAUUGAUCUUUUUCUUAAAUUUGAAACAGGUGUAUUUUUCUGGAUCAAAUAUUAAUAGGAAGAUUCUCUAGAAGAGGAAGAUGGUAAGAGUGGCUUUCAUUUGAAAGGCAUCUUCUUCUUUUUAGGUGAGGAACAGUUUACAUAAUAAAUGAUGACUUUUGGUGGCCAGCUUUCCUUUGACUCUCAUCUUUUUUGUUUCAGAAGGCACCUACCAUUGAUGUUUCCCUCCUUCCUACACAUUAGCAGUGUCACCAGGAAUGCGGCUUCUGCUUUCUAAGUUAAUCCUCUUUUUCAGAAUAGUGCUUUGUUAGAAAGUCUAUAAAGCCUAUGUUCCCCAUAUAACCAGAUACCUUUCUUCUCUG
RNAcentral lists this long non-coding RNA (378 nucleotides) under Bos taurus (domestic cattle). RNAcentral's name for it is "long non-coding RNA NONBTAT013431". The record is from RNAcentral. Lineage: Eukaryota; Metazoa; Chordata; Mammalia; Artiodactyla; Bovidae.